Non-coding RNA from Biomphalaria pfeifferi, 405 nucleotides. NCBI's taxonomy places the organism in Eukaryota, Metazoa, Mollusca, Gastropoda, Planorbidae. The record is from the annotation of a GenBank genome assembly.
CAUAUUCGCAAAAAAAAAAAGAACAUAGUUUUUUGCUCUUGGUGACCAGCGUCGGGUUGCAGUCCAAUAUGACGGACUAGUAUUUACAAAUUUGAACAUUACAAGCAUUUUUUUUCAAGGCACAUUCAUCAAUCUGAUUACCAACAAAAAUACACAAUUAUAAUACCUAACUGAUUGCAAAGAUAAUAUGCUGGAUAAGACAUUUUCAAUCACAAAGAAGAUAAAUCUAUAUAUAUAUAGAAAUAAAGAAUUUUGAAGCUCUUUUUUUCGACAAUCCCGCACAGAGUGAAUUGGAGGCAUCUUAAAGUUACCGGUAUACAAAUAUUUUUUAAAUUCAUUAUACAUGGCUUUUAUCGAAAUUUUUUUUUUCACAAUAUUUUUGUGGUGGGUUUGGCACAGAACACA